AUAUUCCUGGGCAUUCUCAGUUCAGUUGGUUUUGUGCCUCGGGACGCACGACAUCAUGGCCUUGUUCCUCAUACUCGCCCUCUGCUCUGUGGCUGCUGCAUAUAGCUUCGUAGAGCUACCGAUAGAGGAUGAUCCUCGGUUUGCCUUGUCGCAAAACGUCAAAGCUAUGACCAGCAUAAGAGAGAGAAUGUACAUCGUUUCCCGGAACUACAAUAUCACCACCCCUAAUCGCUGCCACUCGGCGAUAAAGACGGCAGCUCUCAGCCAUGACAAGAUUGUAGUCGCUCUGCGAACUCACUUGGGAGGAAUCGGCGGUCCACCGGAAGAAUCGAAGAGUCUGUUCGUUACUUUAAGAACCGGAUUGCACAAGAGAGAUAACGCAGUAAUCUACAAGCUCCACCCACGUAA
Rhipicephalus sanguineus (brown dog tick) is the source of this 408-nucleotide long non-coding RNA. RefSeq lists it as uncharacterized. Lineage: Eukaryota; Metazoa; Arthropoda; Arachnida; Ixodida; Ixodidae. The transcript has 3 exons. The record is from RefSeq and is a predicted model, not a curated record.